This 209-nucleotide long non-coding RNA is filed under the name Elaeis guineensis (African oil palm). Its description in RNAcentral is "long non-coding RNA (EGUI_LNC069222)". Lineage: Eukaryota; Viridiplantae; Streptophyta; Magnoliopsida; Arecales; Arecaceae. The record is from RNAcentral.
GAUGGCUGGUGGUUGCUUAAAGCCUAUCCAAAGGAGGAGAGAUUCUAUAUCAAAUAGAAAGAAUGAUAUAUAGAAUAAAAUCAUGAGAAAAAUACCACCUUAACCCUAGCCCUAGCCCUAUUUAAGGAUCCUAAAACACCAGCAAGAGGGAGAGGAGAAUCAUCUUUGAAAGCUAGAAAUCAAGCAAGGAGAGUUUGGAGUAUCUGAAA